Molecule: small RNA, 114 nt
Filed under: unclassified sequences
Description: LOOT RNA
Rfam family: LOOT RNA
About the family: Latescibacteria, OD1/Parcubacteria, OP11, TM7.
Source: Rfam by way of RNAcentral
AGCCUAAACUAAGAGAUUGGCAUGGCGAAAGGAAUCCAUUCAGAGUAAACAGCUCCUAGUCAGAGCACUCUGAACGGUUAUGUUGGGAAACCAACAUAGAUAGCGAAAGCUAUC